CUCAUCUUUGUAGCUUUCCCUUAGAGCUUAUGGGUGACUUAUGUAAGAAACUCAAUGAAUUUCUUUUGGGUUGAAUUGAUUGAGUCAUGAUGAAAUGAAUGGAGUCACUGUACUUCUGAUGCACAAUUUCCAACCUAAAGGAAGCAGGCAGAAGCUUUAGAAAGUGAAACUCAACAAUGGGUCCAUUUUAACAAUUGCAGUGCAUUUUAGUAGCUAAGUCAUUUUAUAUUAUAAUCUAAUGCAGCAGAAACUAAGAUUUCAAGUGUGAUUUGAUGUCUGCUUCCUGGAUAUGUUUCCUGGGAAUGAAUAACAAAACCACUGUAAACAAUUGAGUCAUCUGAACAAAAGCGUUGGGGACUGUUCUAAGAAAUCUCUGCCAGGAAAGCCAACUACAGUUCACCGGGUGGUUGUUUGGCCUGAUGGUUAAGAUGCUGGUUGGUACACUCACAUCACACACUGUACCCAGGUUCCAGUCCUGACUCUGCUUUCCCACUAAUGAAUACCUGGAAAACAG
Molecule: long non-coding RNA, 514 nt
Organism: Ochotona princeps (American pika)
Lineage: Eukaryota; Metazoa; Chordata; Mammalia; Lagomorpha; Ochotonidae
Exons: 3
Source: RefSeq, a predicted model, not a curated record